ACCUAAAAUGCUUCCUUUCUCAUAGAUCCACUGUGUGAAUCUACUUCCCUUAAUUUCGCACAGGAAAACGUGCAAGAUGAAGAUUUAGAAGCUUGAACUCAAACAUGCACUACUCUCAUUUUCACAUAGGUUUUGGUACUCUCCCAUCACAAAUGCUUGAUAUACUUCACAUCUCGUCUUUCUUCAUAAAAUGCAGAUGAAUUGGACUUCUCAAUGUCAUAAACUGUUUCAGGAGAAUCAUGCUAAGUGAUUUUAGACUGUGAAUCUAUUUUGCUUAAAUUCAGAGAAGGCAAUGUUGAAGAGAAAGCUAAGUAUGAUUCGACUCGAACAUUAUUGUUCCUUUCAUAGAGGUUUGGUGCUUUUCGUUCUCAAAUCACAAAUGGACAUGCAAAUGAAUUUGACGGUUUAAAUGUUAAAGACUAAGGUAUAUUCAAUUAUCUCCGUGUGUUUUAUAUUAGGUUAAAGUUAAACGUCUUAUGUGACUUGCACAUUUCUUCUAUGAUAUGAUUUAUUUUGAUUCUUGAUAAAGGACGCAAUGAGGCAAUGAUGUUGUUUUCAGCUUUUAUAUUAUAGAUCAAACAGGUGGAUGAAGAGCCUUAGUACUGGCAAGGUGUUGUAGUAUCUGUUUGAAAAUACCCUUUGGUGGUUUACUCUACAGAUACUUAUUAUGCAGCUAUGUUAAGGCUCUUUUUUUUUUCUUUCUUGUUUGAGAAAAAGGUGAAUCUGAGCCUUUCUAUGAAACCCUGAAUUUAGGGUUUUUGACUUGCUAGUUGUUAGUUUAAGUAUGAGGCUCCACACUCAGAGAGAUAGGGUUGUUUUGAGAGUUGUUGCCCCUUUGUGUUGUUGUGAUAGCCGAUGAUCCAUCUCAAUGAAGUUUCUAAACAACUCUCAUUUCAUAUAUACUUCCUUCCUCUGUUCUUCCAUGAGAUUGUUUUUCUUCUUCUUUUUCUUCUUCUUUUUCUUCUUUGAUAACAAGGCAAUGUUUGCUGUCUUUUUCUUCUUAUAUAAUAAGGCAGUGAUAAUGUUUCAGCAAUUGAAGCAGACAUCGGGUAAAGAGAUGUUUCAGGUGAGGUGAUUCUGUGCCCGUGCGAAAACACACUUGUUGUACUUUGCACAGGCGCUGUUAUUGACGCAGCCCUUGGGAACCUCUUAAUUCUUCUGUCUGAGAAAAAGGCGAAUCUGAGCCUUCUUUUUUCUUCAGCCCCAUCUCAAAUUCUGUUUGGGGUCCCUCUAUUGUCCUCCCCUUUUUUGUGUUUGGUUUAAUUUUGUUUGUUUUCUACCAAGUAAAAAAUUUAACGAUGGAAGCAUUAGAGUAGUGAGAAGUAUUUCUCACACAACUAAUUUUUUUCAAUGCAACCAAUAUAAUUUUUUAUCAUUAUGUGUGAUUUUAGACUAAAAGACAAAAUUUGCAUUAUUUAUUUAUUCAACAGUCACUCCUAUGUUUUCUAGUAUGCUUAUAUUUUAUUGACAGUAAUUAUGAUUAUUAAAAAGACUAAUUAGAUGAAGUGUUUUCCUGAUAUUACUUACUGUGAGACUUUAUUUUGAUUUUCUAUGUCUCUUUCAUUUACGACACUUGUCCCUUUGAGGAUUGCAAUCUAUGUAAUUUUUCCAUCCUAGAAUUUCUAAGCAAGAAUUAAACCACAUAUAACAUAAGAGAUUAGUGUGCAUUGCUCAUCAAAUUAUAUCAAGUUAACUUUUUUUUUUGUCAAACACAAUAUUCCUUCUUUAAAAAAUACACUAAAGUCAGUACACUUCACUAAAGCUGAAGCAAGGUUAGCAAACUAUAGAAUCAAUGACAUGGUUCAGAAACAUCAAUGUUGGGUGAACAAGAAACACUAUUGUGAAAGUAGCCUAAAAGAUUGUUAGGAUUCUCAAGGCAUGCCGGUGUUGCUGAGCUCUCCAUCUUAUGUAUAUGAAUGGACAUGACAUGAUAACUUUGUCUGACUACUAUUAUGGUUGCAACAGGGAAAGGAUCAUUGAAAUAACAAAGGCUCUCAACCUAGUGAAACAAAUUGUACUAUGACCUAUAUAUGUACACCAUGCAAAGUCCCUAAUUUCUAAUGCUGCACACAUGGCAGCAGUACACCAUGCAACAUCCCUAAUUUCUAAUGCUGCACAGAUGGAAGCAGUAUGCCAUUCUUAAUUCCUAAUGCUGUACAGACUCAUGGAAGCAGUACACCAUUCUAAAUUCCUAAUGCUGUACAUCAUUUGAAGUCUUUUUGGAGUCAUGUUUUCAUUUGAAGCGAUUUUGUUUAUUGAUUCAUACUUGGAUUGAUUUAGCUAUGCCUGUACAUGGUGGAAAGAUAAAUACUAAGAAGGAAUAGGCACUUAACUCUUGAGAAAAUUAUAACAUAACAAGCCAUGAUUAUCAAUCAGUAUUUAUUUAUUUAUAUUUAAAUAUUUAAAAGAGGGCUUGGAACUCUUCUAUCCCAAAUGGUUAGUAGUUUAUUUCUUCUCUUUUCAUUUUGCGGUGUUUUGUUUUACUAAGUGCAUUUUUCUUUGAUCUAAAUGCAGAUGAAUUGGAGGUUUUUGAUGUUUAAAUAGUUUCAGGCGAAGCAUGCCACACCUGUUCUGAUUACACUUCUGAGAAUGUUCCUUUGAGGAUUGAGGCCUUCACACCUUACCAAAACUUUAAGAAAUAAAUUUGAAAAAACAAGUAAAUGACUCGUGGAGCAUACAACUUAGCUAUUUGAUUUUAUAGCAAAAGAGAAAAUGGCUCAUUGAAGACUCUAUACAUACAUACAUGGAAGUCAAUUUAAUGAUUUAAAUGACAUGGAUUGUUAAACUAUAUCUUUGAGAUAUGUUCAAAUAUUGGAGGAACUGCCUCCCAUUUAAAGCUGAAAUGGAUCUAGAUUCUUCUGUUCUAUGCCACCAAUUUAUUGGUCUAAUAUGUAGUAUUUCUGUUAAGUGUUUGGCAACCCCAUUUAUAUGUGACAUUGAAUACAAGGUUCUAGUUUCACUUUCAGCCUCAAAUGGGAGGCAGUUUCUCCAAAAAAUUGAACCAUAUUUAACACCAGAAAUUAUAUAAAGUUAACUUUAUUUUUGGUCGAAUGCAAAUUCUUCAUGGAAAAACACACGAAUGGGUACGCUUCAGGAAAGCUGAAGCAAGGUUAGCAAAUGAUAGGAUUCAUGAAGUUCAGUAGCUUCAGUACUGGGUGAACUAGAGACUCCAUUAUGUUUCCUAGGUUUAGUUAUUGACCUAGAAGAUUAUUAGGCUUCCAAAGGUGAGGGAACGAUGUUGAGCACUCCAUGUUGUAUUUAUGAAUGGAUAUAGCUUUCUCAGGUUGCUGUAAAGGUUGCAGGGAAGAAUUCAUUGAAAGAACAAAAAAUGACAUCGGCAGCUUUGACUCUCAACUUGGUAAAACAAAUUGUACUGUACUUAAAAUUACAAUAUCCUGCUUUUUUUGAAACUCUGUAUGCAUACCAAUUCUACUUCUGCACACAUGAUUGUAUCUGAUAUGAACUAUAGUCUGGACCCAAUUUCCUCACACUACUUGGUUUCAUGCUAAAUGCUGUCUAAGAAUUCUAAUGUUAGAAUUUAUUCUACUCAAACAAUUGAGUUAUUCUUGAAAUGAAUACUCUGAGUAGUAAAGGGCACUUCCUGACAAAACUUUACACUGCUACUCUUAGAUAUCAAGUAGUGUUUUGCAAUUGGACACCUCCGUAAUCCUUCCCAAAUCUACUUUGUGAUGUUUUGCAAUUGUGUACCAAAACUGAAACCGGCUUAUCCACAUUAAUUCAAUAGGUAUAGAAGGAGCAACUUAAAAUUUUCACAAGUCAUCCAAGCCCAAUACUCAAAGCAACCCAAAAUGCUUCAUUUCACUCGAGGCCUACCUUUCCCCAUUCAAAGCAAAUGCCACAAUCUAUUUUGCGUAAAUUGCAAGAGAGGAGUGCCGUAGAGGAAGUGGUGGAUGGUUGAGCCUGAAUAUUACUGUCCCUGUCAUAGCAAGACUGUUGUUUUUAAAGAUAUACUUAUAGAUAAAACUUGAGGAUCUGGUACUCCCCUUAUCUAAUAUCUACAAUGAUUAGUUUUUUAUAACUUAUGUAUUUUUUUUCAUUUUGUGGUGGUUUGCAACUGUUUGGCCAAGUGCUGGUUUCAUAUAAUGCGCUUCAUAUGUUCUAUAUAAUAGCUUAUCACCAUCAAAUUUUGCUUUAGCACUUUUUAAACUUCUAGGUGGUGUUGACAUUUUAUCUGUGAUUUGGUUUGUUUCGGUUAGAAUGCAAGAUUUAAACAUAAUAUAGAAUACUCAAUGAAGCUGUGAUGUUUUUCAGCUUUUAGAACAGAGAAGAGGUUGAAGAGCCUUGGUACUGGCAAGGUGUUUCAGAAUAUCUGUUUGAAAUCACUAUUGCUGUGGUUUCUUCUACAGACAUGUUAACGCAGCCAUGGUGAGGCUUUUCUCUUCUGCCUCUUGUUUGAGAAAAGGUGAAUCUGAGCCUUCCUAUGAAAACCUGCAGUUUAUACUCAGUUAAGUAUGAGGCUCACACUCAGAGAGUUAAGGGUGUCUUGAGAGCCGUUGCCCCUCUGAGUUUUCAUGCAAGCCAAUGAUCCUUAGUGAAAUUUUGCAAACAGCUCUCCACACACAAACACACUCACUCACAUUAUUGCCUGAUCAUAAUCAUCUGCUUCUGUUUCUGUUUUCUCCACAGCUUUUGUUUCUUCUUCUUCUUGGAUAACUAGGCAGUGAUGAUGCUUUUAGCAAUUUAAUUAGAUAUUGAGUGAAGAGUUGUUUCCUGGCAAGGUGACUCUGUCUGUGUGAAAUUGCUCUUGUGGAUAUUUGCACAGUUGAUGUUGGCAGCCUUUGCAAACCUCUUCUCUCUUGUAUCUGAAAAAAGGCGAAUCUGAGCCUCUUUUGUUUUAAACCCUAACUUAAAUUGUUCUGAGACUUUGUUUCCUCUUUUUCUUUCUAUUUAUUGAAUUUUAUUUAUUUAUAAUCAUGAAGUUUCUCAAUGCAAACCCGGACAUUAAUUUUCUGUUUACUUUUUGAUUGCCACUGAAAGAUAAUAUUGACACAUUACUCCUCCUUAUUCAACUCUA
Molecule: long non-coding RNA, 5035 nt
Organism: Lathyrus oleraceus (garden pea)
Lineage: Eukaryota; Viridiplantae; Streptophyta; Magnoliopsida; Fabales; Fabaceae
Exons: 4
Source: RefSeq, a predicted model, not a curated record